AAGGGCAUAAUUCAGUGGUAGAGUGCAUGCUUAGCAUGCAUGAGGCCCUGGGUUCAAUUCCCAGCACUUA
This 70-nucleotide transfer RNA is filed under the name Camelus bactrianus (Bactrian camel). It matches the Rfam family "tRNA". Rfam says of the family: Transfer RNA (tRNA) molecules are approximately 80 nucleotides in length. Their secondary structure includes four short double-helical elements and three loops (D, anti-codon, and T loops). Lineage: Eukaryota; Metazoa; Chordata; Mammalia; Artiodactyla; Camelidae. RNAcentral also lists the same sequence under 3 other names. The record is from Rfam by way of RNAcentral.